This is a long non-coding RNA of Oryzias latipes (Japanese medaka), 233 nucleotides long. RefSeq lists it as uncharacterized. Lineage: Eukaryota; Metazoa; Chordata; Actinopteri; Beloniformes; Adrianichthyidae. The record is from RefSeq and is a predicted model, not a curated record.
GGAGACUCCUCUCCACAGUUCAUCGCCAGUUCGUUACCCCUUAUGGAUCUUCAACCACCCAAGAGUGAAGUCAGCGUGGAUCAUCCUCUCAGCUACACAGAAGCCUACAAGAAACCACAGCCUACGCCAACCGCAUUAAGCCCUCCAGCCACGCCAUCAGGCUCGUCCACGUCACCACCAGCCACGAACAACUACACAUCUGGAGAAACAAUAAAACUCUUCUUACCUCUAAA